Long non-coding RNA from Equus asinus (donkey), 2503 nucleotides. NCBI's taxonomy places the organism in Eukaryota, Metazoa, Chordata, Mammalia, Perissodactyla, Equidae. The record is from Ensembl.
CCACCGCCGCCGCCAUACGGGUCGGAGAGGCUGUGCGCCGCUCCCAGGGGAGAUCCGGUUCCCAUCUGGCCCAGCCCGCCCUGCCUUGUCCUGCCCGCAACUCCGGGGCAGCCUGACUCGAUUCCGGGUAACAGGGGCCGGCCGAGCAGGCUCCACUAGGUGGUAUAGGGGGCUGUGGCCGGAACAGGGGCCCUUCUGGAGGUGGACAGCCAGCUUCCAGUCCGGCUCUGUCCCAGCGACUUCUGUGGCCUUGGGCAAGUCAUUGCCGGGCCACUCCUGGGUUUUCCUACUUGCACAAUGAAGGGGGUUGGUCUGGCCACCCUCUCCUCCUCAGUUGCCAAAUCUUGGUUUCUGGGCUUCUAGCAAUACGUUUGAGCCCCUCCCCCCAAACCUGACGGGAAGAUGGAGGUCCUCAAGGGGUUGGAGCAACAGCUGUGAGGGGUGGAAAAUGGGGGGGGGGGUGGGGCUGGAACCAGGAUGGACAGCAAGUCCUCUCCUCCAGGUCUCUUUGGUGCUGACAUCCACAGGGUCCACUCCCUGCCAUCUCCCUGGCCCUCUUUCAGUCUUCCCAUGUCUGAGACAGACAGACUGUCAGACUGACUGAAAAGGACAAACACAGGGUCUGGGGGAGCCCUUGCCUGUUGGGGUCCCCAUGCACAGCGGCUUACCACCUUUCCCGAACCUCAUAAUCCCAAAGCCUCUUGUUUCAGCGAGCUGGGGUGGGGGCGAGUCUAAGUGGCCCUCAGCUCAGGCAGAAGUCCAUGGGUUAUUAGCCACAACCCAAACCUGGGACAGAUCAUCUCGCUUUCCAGUGACUUGGAUCUGACAAGGGGGAGGGGGAGGGAGAUUACCCUAGACCCCUGGCCUCUGGCUGGGAGAGCCCAGAACUGAGGGCUCCCCACAAGGGCUGGGGUCAGCUGAGCCCCUAGCUGAGUGCUCUCCUGUCACUCCAGGUGUCCUUCAUUCCUCCUCCCAAAAUUGAUGGUGAUGCUGAGCCAGCCCCAGAGGGAGGGGCCAGCUGUAGGCUGGGGUGGAAGGAAGUCUCCUUGGACAGCACUGGACAGACGGACAGAGGGAAAAACUGAGAAGUAGAGUGCAAGUUCAUCCAACUCAUAAACAGUGGAGCUUUGAUUUGAACCCAGGCGGCAGUGUGACUCCAGAGCCCACACUCUCAACCCUUUGCUGUCUGUAUGCUCAUGGGGACAUGGAGCUCCAGCUCACCACGUGCGGUUCACUCACUCAUUCAAGUUUCAUUGAGUGCCUACGAUGUGUCCAAUGUGCCCUGUGUGAGGUUUGAGGAUAAAGAUUGAGAACAUGGCUGACACAGCCCCUCUCCCCUUAAACAGAGCUGACGCUCUGGUAUAAAGAAAGACACUCAGUACACCCUUAAACACCCAUAAACAAAAGGUGAAAAAGAACUUUAUAGAGUGAUAAACAAUAUAAAGAAAGCAAGGUGAUAUCAUGGACGGUAAAUGCCAGGAACAGGGUCACCCAGGAGGUAAUAAAGGAGCCAGCUGUGCCAAGAUGUGACUGAGACACUCCAGGAAACAGGAAGAGCAAAUGCAAAGACUCUGAGGUGGGAGCAAGCACUGGGAUUGGGAACAGGAGCCUAGGACCAUCAGUCAAAACAGAAGCCCAGGUUCACAUCUCAGUUGGGCCACUUCUCAGCUGUGACACCUCCUCGCCAACGUUCCGGAACGCUUCUGGGUCGCCGCAUCUGUGAAAUGCAAGGCAGUCGCGGCGCCUGCCUCAUCGGCUGGGGGCGAGAAUGAGCUGAGCGCACGCACGUAGAAGCUCUGAGCAGAGCGCCUGGCCUGAACUUCAAGGCGCUCGGUGAUCAGCCGCCGGCUCUCAGCAGACGUCGGGACCGAGGCCCCCAGACCCUGGAGCUCUAUCUGGCGGCUGGCAGCGCCGCGUUCCGGCCGCGCUCGGGUUGAAAUGGUCUCCCUCGCCACGGUGGGGAGCCACUCCCUUUGUUACUAUUAUUCCUAAACGAUUUGUAAACCCGCGCUCUACCUGGGGCGGUUCAGGUUUCCUGCGCUCAGCGCCGCCUUGCGGGAAGUCCUGGUCCUCGCUUCCUCCCGGCCCCUCCACGACGGAAACUCCGGGAGCGGGAGCGCAGCGCAGGGUCUGGGAACUCAAACUUGUGAGGAACGGGGCUGCGAUGGACCGAUCCUCCAGGAGAAGAGGACUGAGGGGCUUGAGGAAAGUGGCCUGCGAAGAGCCUUGUCUACCUCCGCUCUAGCGUCUCCCCCUCGACCGACCUAGGGCUGAAGGAGAGGUGUUGUUUAGACGCUGGAAAGAACUUGCGCGCGCCUCGAGCUGGGAAUGCGCUGUCUUAGGCCCCAGAGUGACCUGGUACCUCCGUCCCUGAGGGUCUGGGCCAGGGAGAGCGCUUUCUGUCCCGAGGUCGGGUGCGCCUUUCCUGGGUCAGGCCCCUAAAAGAAAAAAAGCGGAGUCAGCCUUGGCUGCGGCAGGCGUGGGACGUGUGCCUCAGCACUUU